GGUGCUAUUAGGAAGCCCUCGGAAUAAGCUUUCCAAUGAUAUACUAUAUAUAUUUUUUGGAGCUACAGAGUGAGGAAUAUUGUCUCUAAAAUUUUAUUUUAAAUUUUAUCUGAUGAAGAGGAUGAUCAUGUUCACUCGCAUGAUCACAUGUCAUGAGUGCUAGGCCAUCGCAUCCCACAUGGCCAUCCCAAUAACAUGUUAAGU
This 204-nucleotide long non-coding RNA is filed under the name Elaeis guineensis (African oil palm). Its description in RNAcentral is "long non-coding RNA (EGUI_LNC064125)". Lineage: Eukaryota; Viridiplantae; Streptophyta; Magnoliopsida; Arecales; Arecaceae. The record is from RNAcentral.